CUUGGCGACCAUAGCGUUUUGGACCCACCUGAACCCAUUCCGAACUCAGAAGUGAAACGAAAUAGCGUCGAUGGUAGUGUGGGGUAUCGUUGCGCCCAGAGAAGCACAGUCAUUGGUGAACCUCGGUUAUCACCUGGA
RNAcentral lists this ribosomal RNA (138 nucleotides) under Vibrio vulnificus. The record is from RNAcentral. Lineage: Bacteria; Pseudomonadati; Pseudomonadota; Gammaproteobacteria; Vibrionales; Vibrionaceae.